GGAAAUCUUGAAGGUGUUUGAUGAAAUGCCUUAAGUUCAUUGUCUCCUCUGUUUGUGUCGGACUAGCUUUGAAUUGGUGGAGAAGCUUCGUUUUCCUCCACAGCAACUUCAAAUUCCUUCAUCAAAGGGUGUGACUACAAUUUCGGAUUGAGGUAGAUGGUUGGAGUGUCGCUCGGAGUAUCCUGUCUGCCGGGUCCUACGUCACAUCCGAAGG
Molecule: long non-coding RNA, 214 nt
Organism: Zingiber officinale
Lineage: Eukaryota; Viridiplantae; Streptophyta; Magnoliopsida; Zingiberales; Zingiberaceae
Exons: 3
Source: RefSeq, a predicted model, not a curated record